GACGAACGCUGGCGGCGUGCUUAACACAUGCAAGUCGAACGGAAAGGCCCUGCUUUUGUGGGGUGCUCGAGUGGCGAACGGGUGAGUAACACGUGAGUAACCUGCCCUUGACUUUGGGAUAACUUCAGGAAACUGGGGCUAAUACCGGAUAGGAGCUCCUGCUGCAUGGUGGGGGUUGGAAAGUUUCGGCGGUUUGGGAUUGACUCGCGGCUUAUCAGCUUGUUGGUGGGGUAGUGGCUUACCAAGGCUUUGACGGGUAGCCGGCCUUGGAGGGUGACCGGGCACAAUGGGCCGUGGGUACGGCCCAGACUCCUACGGUGAGCAACAGGGGGGAAUAUUGCACAAUGGGGCGGAGCCAGAUGCAGCAGCGCCGGGUGCGGGAAUACCGGCUUUUGGGUGUAAACCGCUUUCGCCUGUGACGAAGCGUGAGUGACGGUAAUGGGUAAAGAAGCACCGGCUAACUACGUG
RNAcentral lists this ribosomal RNA (468 nucleotides) under uncultured bacterium. RNAcentral describes it as "partial 16S ribosomal RNA". It matches the Rfam family "Bacterial small subunit ribosomal RNA", at positions 28 to 507 of the family's 1533-position model. The record is from RNAcentral.